Molecule: ribosomal RNA, 532 nt
Filed under: uncultured Lactococcus sp.
Lineage: Bacteria; Bacillati; Bacillota; Bacilli; Lactobacillales; Streptococcaceae
Description: bacterial SSU rRNA
Rfam family: Bacterial small subunit ribosomal RNA
Source: RNAcentral
CGGGUUAUCGUAAAGACUCUGUUGUAAGUCAAGAACGGGUGUGAGAGUGGAAAGUUCACACUGUGACGGUAGCGUUAACCAGAAAGUCACGGCUAACUACGUGCCAGCAGCCGCGGUAAUACGUAGGUGGCAAGCGUUGUCCGGAUUUAUUGGGCGUAAAGCGAGCGCAGGCGGAAUGAUAAGUCUGAUGUGAAAGCCCACGGCUCAACCGUGGAACUGCAUCGGAAACUGUCAUUCUUGAGUGCAGAAGAGGAGAGUGGAACUCCAUGUGUAGCGGUGGAAUGCGUAGAUAUAUGGAAGAACACCAGUGGCGAAGGCGGCUCUCUGGUCUGCAACUGACGCUGAGGCUCGAAAGCAUGGGUAGCGAACAGGAUUAGAUACCCUGGUAGUCCAUGCCGUAAACGAUGGGCGCUAGGUGUUGGGGACUUUCCGGUCCUCAGUGCCGCAGCAAACGCAUUAAGCGCUCCGCCUGGGGAGUACGACCGCAAGGUUGAAACUCAAAGGAAUUGACGGGGGCCCGUCGACGCGGCCG